Molecule: transfer RNA, 73 nt
Organism: Desulfurobacterium thermolithotrophum DSM 11699
Lineage: Bacteria; Pseudomonadati; Aquificota; Aquificia; Desulfurobacteriales; Desulfurobacteriaceae
Rfam family: tRNA
About the family: Transfer RNA (tRNA) molecules are approximately 80 nucleotides in length. Their secondary structure includes four short double-helical elements and three loops (D, anti-codon, and T loops).
Source: Rfam
GGGCCGCUAGCUCAGUUGGUAGAGCAACGGACUUUUAAUCCGUAGGUCCCAGGUUCGAGUCCUGGGCGGCUCA